GUGGGGAAUAUUGGACAAUGGGCGAAAGCCUGAUCCAGCCAUGCCGCGUGUGUGAAGAAGGUCUUCGGAUUGUAAAGCACUUUAAGUUGGGAGGAAGGGCAGUAAGUUAAUACCUUGCUGUUUUGACGUUACCGACAGAAUAAGCACCGGCUAACUUCGUGCCAGCAGCCGCGGUAAUACGAAGGGUGCAAGCGUUAAUCGGAAUUACUGGGCGUAAAGCGCGCGUAGGUGGUUUUGUAAGUUGGAGGUGAAAUCCCCGGGCUCAACCUGGGAACUGCCUCCAAAAGUGCAUGACUAGAGUACGGUAGAGGGUAGUGGAAUUUCCUGUGUAGCGGUGAAAUGCGUAGAUAUAGGAAGGAACACCAGUGGCGAAGGCGACUACCUGGACUGAUACUGACACUGAGGUGCGAAAGCGUGGGGAGCAAACAGGAUUAGAUACCCUUGUAGUCC
Molecule: ribosomal RNA, 450 nt
Filed under: uncultured bacterium
Lineage: Bacteria
Description: partial 16S ribosomal RNA
Rfam family: Bacterial small subunit ribosomal RNA
Source: RNAcentral